AGAGUUUGAUCCCUGGCUCAGGACGAACGCUGGCGGCGUGCUUAACACAUGCAAGUCGAACGAUGAUGCCCAGCUUGCUGGGUGGAUUAGUGGCGAACGGGUGAGUAACACGUGAGUAACCUGCCCCUGACUCUGGGAUAAGCGUUGGAAACGACGUCUAAUACUGGAUAUGAUCACUGGCCGCAUGGUCUGGUGGUGGAAAGAUUUUUUGGUUGGGGAUGGACUCGCGGCCUAUCAGCUUGUUGGUGAGGUAAUGGCUCACCAAGGCGACGACGGGUAGCCGGCCUGAGAGGGUGACCGGCCACACUGGGACUGAGACACGGCCCAGACUCCUACGGGAGGCAGCAGUGGGGAAUAUUGCACAAUGGGCGAAAGCCUGAUGCAGCAACGCCGCGUGAGGGAUGACGGCCUUCGGGUUGUAAACCUCUUUUAGUAGGGAAGAAGCGAAAGUGACGGACCUCA
This 462-nucleotide ribosomal RNA is filed under the name Curtobacterium sp. iMTIII9. RNAcentral describes it as "bacterial SSU rRNA". It matches the Rfam family "Bacterial small subunit ribosomal RNA", at positions 8 to 481 of the family's 1533-position model. The record is from RNAcentral. Lineage: Bacteria; Bacillati; Actinomycetota; Actinomycetes; Micrococcales; Microbacteriaceae.